GCUAGUUGUAUUAUUAGUUAAUGCAAGAUCGACUACGUCGACUAAAGUUCUAGGUAGAAUAAUGAUGAUGACAAUUUUUUACCUAUAUGUCUUGACCAAGUCUCGUGCCAGCAGUCGCGGUAAUACGUGGAAGACUAGUGUUAUUCAUCUUUAUUAGGUUUAAAGGGUACCUAGACGGUAUUUCUAGCCCAAAAUAGGGUACGGAUUUACUAGAGUUUUAUGUGAGGAGGGGAGUACUCGUGGAGUAGAGAUGAAAUUUUGUUAUACUAUGAGGUAACUGGUGGCGGCGAAAGCAACCUUCUAUGUAUAAACUGACGUUGAGGGACGAAGGCUUGGGUAGCAAAUAGGAUUAGAUACCCUAGUAGUCCAAGCAGACAAUUCUGAAUGCCAUAGAUUAGAUUAUUUUUGAUCUAUAAAUGAAAGUGUAAGCAUUCCACCUUAGGAGUAAUGUGGCAACACAGGAACUGAAAUCAUUAGACCGUUUCUGAAACCAGUAGUGAAGUAUGUUAUUUAAUUUGAUGGUCCACAAAAAACCUUACCACAACUUGAAUAUUUUUUAAUUAAUACAAGCGUUGCACGGCUGUCUUCAGUUAAUGUCGUGAGAUUUUGGUUAACUCCAUUAAUUAACGUAAACCCUUACUUUAUUUAUUUUUUU
RNAcentral lists this ribosomal RNA (655 nucleotides) under Sarcogyne sp. Its description in RNAcentral is "SSU rRNA". It matches the Rfam family "Bacterial small subunit ribosomal RNA", at positions 385 to 1124 of the family's 1533-position model. Lineage: Eukaryota; Fungi; Ascomycota; Lecanoromycetes; Acarosporales; Acarosporaceae. The record is from RNAcentral.